RNAcentral lists this non-coding RNA (25 nucleotides) under Rattus norvegicus (Norway rat). The record is from RNAcentral. Lineage: Eukaryota; Metazoa; Chordata; Mammalia; Rodentia; Muridae.
AGCACUUCAAACCUGCUCUUCCACA